Molecule: long non-coding RNA, 358 nt
Filed under: Phoenix dactylifera (date palm)
Lineage: Eukaryota; Viridiplantae; Streptophyta; Magnoliopsida; Arecales; Arecaceae
Description: long non-coding RNA (PDAC_LNC019582)
Source: RNAcentral
GACCCGUGUUCGACCCGCCAUAAACAGGUUUGGAUUUGGCCUAAACAGGUUCGGGUCGUAAACAGGUCGACCCGUUUAACCUGUUUAUUAAUUGGGUCGGCUACGGGUUUUAGAUGUCUGACCCAUUUAAAUCGUUUAACCCGUUUAACUGUUGGGCAGGUUAAACAGGUCUAAACAGGUUAAACGGGUUAAACAGGUUACACGGGUUAAACAGGUUAAACAGGUCUAAACAGGUUAAACGGGUCUAAACAGGUCUAAACAGGUCGGGUUGGGCAGGUUAAACAGGUUGGGUUGGACAGAUUAAACAGGUCUAAACAGGUUAAACGAGUCAGGUUGGGCAAACAUGUUAAACAGGUCG